This 325-nucleotide ribosomal RNA is filed under the name uncultured eukaryote. RNAcentral's name for it is "partial 18S ribosomal RNA". It matches the Rfam family "Eukaryotic small subunit ribosomal RNA", at positions 1470 to 1796 of the family's 1831-position model. The record is from RNAcentral.
CCCUUAGAUGUUCUGGGCCGCACGCGCGCUACACUGAUGCAUUCAACGAGCCUAUCCUUGACCGACAGGUCCGGGUAAUCUUUGAAUCUGCAUCGUGACGGGGAUAGAUUAUUGCAAUUACUAAUCUUCAACGAGGAAUGCCUAGUAGGCGCAAGCCAUCAGCUUGCGUCGAUUACGUCCCUGCCCUUUGUACACACCGCCCGUCGCUCCUACCGAUUGGGUGUGCUGGUGAAAUGUUCGGAUCGGCCGUUUGUCGCGGUUUCCGCGGCUCGUGGCUGAGAAGUUCAUUAAACCCUCCCACCUAGAGGAAGGAGAAGUCGUAACA